RNAcentral lists this ribosomal RNA (497 nucleotides) under uncultured bacterium. Its description in RNAcentral is "partial 16S ribosomal RNA". It matches the Rfam family "Bacterial small subunit ribosomal RNA", at positions 28 to 507 of the family's 1533-position model. The record is from RNAcentral.
GAUGAACGCUGGCGGCGUGCCUAAUACAUGCAAGUCGAGCGAACAGAUGAGGAGCUUGCUCCUCUGACGUUAGCGGCGGACGGGUGAGUAACACGUGGAUAACCUACCUAUAAGACUGGGAUAACUUCGGGAAACCGGAGCUAAUACCGGAUAAUAUAUUGAACCGCAUGGUUCAAUAGUGAAAGACGGUUUUGCUGUCACUUAUAGAUGGAUCCGCGCCGCAUUAGCUAGUUGGUAAGGUAACGGCUUACCAAGGCAACGAUGCGUAGCCGACCUGAGAGGGUGAUCGGCCACACUGGAACUGAGACACGGUCCAGACUCCUACGGCAGGCAGCAGUAGGGAAUCUUCCGCAAUGGGCGAAAGCCUGACGGAGCAACGCCGCGUGAGUGAUGAAGGUCUUCGGAUCGUAAAACUCUGUUAUUAGGGAAGAACAAAUGUGUAAGUAACUAUGCACGUCUUGACGGUACCUAAUCAGAAAGCCACGGCUAACUACGUG